This 378-nucleotide RNase P RNA is filed under the name pig gut metagenome. Its description in RNAcentral is "Bacterial RNase P class A". It matches the Rfam family "Bacterial RNase P class A". Rfam says of the family: Ribonuclease P (RNase P) is a ubiquitous endoribonuclease, found in archaea, bacteria and eukarya as well as chloroplasts and mitochondria. Its best characterised activity is the generation of mature 5'-ends of tRNAs by cleaving the 5'-leader elements of precursor-tRNAs. Cellular RNase Ps are ribonucleoproteins. The record is from RNAcentral.
AUGGCGGUCUGUCGCUCACUGACGUAAGAGCGGUGAGAGGAAAGUCCGGGCAACAUAGAGUAUCAUAUUUCUUAACGAGAAGCCAUCUGUGAGGGUGGAGUAAUGUGACAGAAAACAACCGCCUCUAUGGCAUGCGUGCAGUGGAGGUAAGGGUGAAAAGGCGGGGUAAGAGCCCACCGGGUGCGAUGGUGACAUUGCAUGCCGCACAUCUUAUGAGUUGCAAGGUCAAGUAUAUCGGCAUUUAAGGGUUACUCGUCCAUUGCCGAGGGGUAGACUGCUAAAGCAUGGUGGCAACAUCAUGUUCAGAUAAAUGACAGACCGUGGCAUAAGAGCCGAAAGGUUCUGAGCUACGACAUAACCCGGCUUAUAGCCGUGCUG